AUCGAUAUGAUUCACUCAAUUUGUCUACUAAACCUACUACUCAUCGUAUCUGAUAUGCGCGGUAUGCUGGUGGACAGAAAACAGAGUUGAUUCAAAACAGAGUUGGUCCAAACCAGACAUUAACAAGAACCCGCGCCAAGCGCGGGUUUUUUU
Molecule: regulatory RNA element, 153 nt
Organism: Photorhabdus luminescens
Lineage: Bacteria; Pseudomonadati; Pseudomonadota; Gammaproteobacteria; Enterobacterales; Morganellaceae
Rfam family: Leucine operon leader
About the family: At least 6 amino acid operons are known to be regulated by attenuation. In each a leader sequence of 150-200 bp is found upstream of the first gene in the operon.
Source: Rfam